AGCAGUCGCCGCGGGAAUACAGAGGGUGCGAGCGUUAAUCGGAUUUACUGGGCGUAAAGCGUGCGUAGGCGGCUUUUUAAGUCGGAUGUGAAAUCCCUGAGCUUAACUUAGGAAUUGCAUUCGAUACUGGGAAGCUAGAGUAUGGGAGAGGAUGGUAGAAUUCCAGGUGUAGCAGUGAAAUGCGUAGAGAUCUGGAGGAAUACCGAUGGCGAAGGCAGCCAUCUGGCCUAAUACUGACGCUGAGGUACGAAAGCAUGGGGAGCAAACAGGAUUAGAUACCCCUGUAGUCCCUGUCUCUUAUAC
This 303-nucleotide ribosomal RNA is filed under the name uncultured bacterium. RNAcentral describes it as "partial 16S ribosomal RNA". It matches the Rfam family "Bacterial small subunit ribosomal RNA", at positions 507 to 807 of the family's 1533-position model. The record is from RNAcentral.